Molecule: unclassified non-coding RNA, 139 nt
Filed under: soil metagenome
Description: partial internal transcribed spacer 1
Source: RNAcentral
CCUAGAGUUGUAGGCUUUGCCUGCUAUCUCUUACCCAUGUCUUUUGAGUACCUUACGUUUCCUCGGUGGGUUCGCCCACCGAUUGGACAAACUUAAACCCUUUGCAGUUGAAAUCAGCGUCUGAAAAAACUUAAUAGUA